Anolis sagrei ordinatus is the source of this 568-nucleotide non-coding RNA. NCBI's taxonomy places the organism in Eukaryota, Metazoa, Chordata, Lepidosauria, Squamata, Anolidae. The record is from RefSeq and is a predicted model, not a curated record.
UUGUUUCUCAAUGUCUAGGAUUGUUUGGUUUGUUUGCCCUUUGUGAUCUGGAGUCACCCAUUUUGUAUUUGCCUGCGGAAAACCAACAACGGUGAAUAAAGCGUCCUGGCUGCUAAUGAAAACCUCAGAACGUAUUUGAAAACAGCGAGAGGAAGAAGGGAAGAGAGGAGGGUGGCAGCUGGUCACAGGAGGAGGAGAUGAGAGGUAUUCUGGGUCUAAAAGUCCCUGUCACAAUGCAAGAAGAAAAAGAGACCACCAAGGACUAGAACCGGACAGCGGAAAGCCCGUUGCUUCUCGCAGCAUGACUUUAUCUGGAUGUCAUCAGAGCGCAAGAGCAUGACUGGGAGGUGUGUCUGUGCACCCACGUCAGUCCUGGCUCCCCGAGCGUGUGUCCGGCUGCCAAACCAUGUGACGGCUUGGCAGGCAAUGCGAUGCAUGAAUAAAUAUUAUGCCGCCGAAUCGCAAGAGAGGCCUGGAUUCAGACCAAACCUGGGUCAAGCCCUCGUCAUCUUCGGUAUGCAGAGAGCUUUUGUCUUGCGCUACAAGGCAGAAAGCUGAGGCUUGUACG